GGCCUCUUGUUUAUAUAUGAGGUCUGACCUGCCCGGUGAAAUUAUUUUAACGGCCGCAGUAUUUUGACUGUGCAAAGGUAGCAUAAUCAUUAGUCUUUUAAUAGGGGGCUGGAAUGAAGGGUUUGACGAGGUGUUAACUGUCUCAUUAAAUUUGUUAUUAAAAUUUGACUUUUCAGUUAAAAGGCUGAAAUUUUAUUGGAAGACGAGAAGACCCUAUAGAGCUUUAUAAUUGAAGAUUUAAUUAUUAUUUGUUUAUUAUUUUUUAUUAUUUCUUUAAUUAUUUUGUUGGGGUGACAAAAAUAUAUAAUUAACUUUUUUAUUUAAUUAACAUUGAUUAAUGAAUAUUAGAUCCAAUCUUAUUGAUUGUUAGAUUAAGUUACCUUAGGGAUAACAGCGUAAUCUUCCUUCAGAGUUCAUAUUUACGGGAAGGCUUGCGACCUCGAUGUUGGAUUAAGAUAAUAGUUAGGUGUAGCCGCUUAAUAUAUAGGUCUGUUCGACCUUUAAAUUCUU
RNAcentral lists this ribosomal RNA (510 nucleotides) under Stylurus nagoyanus. RNAcentral's name for it is "partial 16S rRNA". It matches the Rfam family "Bacterial large subunit ribosomal RNA", at positions 1829 to 2597 of the family's 2925-position model. The record is from RNAcentral. Lineage: Eukaryota; Metazoa; Arthropoda; Insecta; Odonata; Gomphidae.